GGGGAAUAUUGGACAAUGGGCGCAAGCCUGAUCCAGCCAUGCCGCGUGAGUGAUGAAGGCCUUAGGGUUGUAAAGCUCUUUUGUCCGGGACGAUAAUGACGGUACCGGAAGAAUAAGCCCCGGCUAACUUCGUGCCAGCAGCCGCGGUAAUACGAAGGGGGCUAGCGUUGCUCGGAAUCACUGGGCGUAAAGGGCGCGUAGGCGGCCAUUCAAGUCGGGGGUGAAAGCCUGUGGCUCAACCACAGAAUUGCCUUCGAUACUGUUUGGCUUGAGUUUGGUAGAGGUUGGUGGAACUGCGAGUGUAGAGGUGAAAUUCGUAGAUAUUCGCAAGAACACCAGUGGCGAAGGCGGCCAACUGGACCAACACUGACGCUGAGGCGCGAAAGCGUGGGGAGCAAAC
RNAcentral lists this ribosomal RNA (400 nucleotides) under uncultured bacterium. Its description in RNAcentral is "bacterial SSU rRNA". It matches the Rfam family "Bacterial small subunit ribosomal RNA", at positions 356 to 773 of the family's 1533-position model. The record is from RNAcentral.